RNAcentral lists this long non-coding RNA (1137 nucleotides) under Pongo abelii (Sumatran orangutan). RNAcentral describes it as "lncRNA (ENSPPYG00000038208.1)". Lineage: Eukaryota; Metazoa; Chordata; Mammalia; Primates; Hominidae. The record is from RNAcentral.
GCCUCAGAUUCCUUUAUCACCCCCUAGGCCGGAGCUGGCGCGACCAAUAAGGUGCCAGGUCCGCGGCCUCCCCGCCACCGACCAAUCACGAGCGAGCCCCCCCGCCGUCGCCUUCCGCCAAUGGGAGAAAGCCCGCGGGCCGGGCCGACGAGGCACACGGACCCCACGAGCGCGGCGGCGGCGGCGACAGCGGCGGGCCAGGCAAGAGCACAACAUGGCGGCGGGCAGGACGGACCGAGCUACAGCAGCGGCCGCGCGAGGAAGUGAGACUCUAUUCCUAGCCCUGGCGGAGAAUGUGAAGAUGAGGCCAGAGGGAACAUUGAGAAGAAGGAUCUCAGAGAAGAAGGAAAAUUCAACAGAACCUAGGAAAUGCAACUGCUAUUGCCUGGGCCUUUGUUCCUGGAAUGGACUCUGCAUGAAGGGGCUGAGCAGGAACAGAGGAUUGCAGUUCUUAGGAUGGCCACGCGAGGGAAGUGGUGAGCAGCCUCCAGGAGGACUUCGGCUCCGCUGUGCCAAGGCACCUGCUGAGGACCCAGAUGGCCCGCCUGGGGUUUCCGGGACUUCCCGGCCCCGAAACAUGUGGGCGCUGGCCAGAGCGCCGCAGGAGAAGCCUCUGCCAGGUUUCAUCGUGCUUAGAACGUCUUUUCCAUCUCCAAGAUUAUUAAAAUAUUCACUCAUGUCUUUUUUCUGAUACAUUAUGGUGUUAAAUAUGUGGCCCACCUGGAAUUUAUUUCAGUGUCGAAUAAGGGCACAACUUUUUGUAAUUUCCCCAAAAGACUUGCUGGUUAUUCCACCCAUUUGAUCUCCGCCCCCCCCCCCCCAACCUCCUACCAACACUGCCACCCAUUUGUCUGAAGUGCUGUCUUUUAUUCAUUCAUUCAUUUAGAGAUAAGGUCUUGCUCUGUUGCCCAGGCUGGAGUGCAGUGGCGUGAUCACAGCUCACUGCAGCCUUGACCUCCCAGGCUCAGGUAAUCCUCCCACUUCAGCCUCCCUGGUAGCUGGGACUACAGGUGUGUGCAAUCAUGCCCAGAUAAUUUUUUUUUUUUUUUUUUUUUUUUUUUUUUUUUUUUUUUUGAGACAGAGUCUUGCUCUGUUACCAGGCUGGAGUGCAGUGGCAUGAUCUCAGCUCACUGCAAC